GAUGAACGCUGGCGGCGUGCCUAAUACAUGCAAGUCGAGCGAACGGACGAGAAGCUUGCUUCUCUGAUGUUAGCGGCGGACGGGUGAGUAACACGUGGAUAACCUACCUAUAAGACUGGGAUAACUUCGGGAAACCGGAGCUAAUACCGGAUAAUAUUUUGAACCGCAUGGUUCAAAAGUGAAAGACGGUCUUGCUGUCACUUAUAGAUGGAUCCGCGCUGCAUUAGCUAGUUGGUAAGGUAACGGCUUACCAAGGCAACGAUGCAUAGCCGACCUGAGAGGGUGAUCGGCCACACUGGAACUGAGACACGGUCCAGACUCCUACGGGAGGCAGCAGUAGGGAAUCUUCCGCAAUGGACGAAAGCCUGACGGAGCAACGCCGCGUGAGUGAUGAAGGUCUUCGGAUCGUAAAACUCUGUUAUUAGGGAAGAACAUAUGUGUAAGUAACUGUGCACGUCUUGACGGUACCUAAUCAGAAAGCCACGGCUAACUACGUG
This 497-nucleotide ribosomal RNA is filed under the name uncultured bacterium. RNAcentral describes it as "partial 16S ribosomal RNA". It matches the Rfam family "Bacterial small subunit ribosomal RNA", at positions 28 to 507 of the family's 1533-position model. The record is from RNAcentral.